UGUGAGAAACACUCUGUAGCCAAUAACAUAGGCUCAGGCGAGGAUCUCAGUGAAGUAGCAUUUUUAUUCACGAUUGCAAUGGCAGGCAUCCCACAAGCAGGCGUGCACCUACUAGUUCCAUAACAGAGUUUAUCUCAUUUAUU
This is a long non-coding RNA of Oxyura jamaicensis (ruddy duck), 143 nucleotides long. RefSeq lists it as uncharacterized. Lineage: Eukaryota; Metazoa; Chordata; Aves; Anseriformes; Anatidae. The transcript is spliced from 3 exons. The record is from RefSeq and is a predicted model, not a curated record.